RNAcentral lists this ribosomal RNA (498 nucleotides) under uncultured bacterium. Its description in RNAcentral is "bacterial SSU rRNA". It matches the Rfam family "Bacterial small subunit ribosomal RNA", at positions 25 to 518 of the family's 1533-position model. The record is from RNAcentral.
CAGGAUGAACGCUAGCGACAGGCCUAACACAUGCAAGUCGAGGGGCAGCACAAGGAGCAAUCUGAGGUGGCGACCGGCGCACGGGUGAGUAACACGUAUGCAACCUGCCUGUAAGCGGGGAAUAACCCGUUGAAAGACGGACUAAUACCGCAUAAUACUAAAUUACUGCAUGGUAAUUUAUUUAAACAUUUAUGGCUUACAGAUGGGCAUGCGCAUGAUUAGCUAGUUGGAGAGGUAACGGCUCCCCAAGGCAACGAUCAUUAGGGGUUCUGAGAGGAAGGUCCCCCACACUGGUACUGAGACACGGACCAGACUCCUACGGGAGGCAGCAGUGAGGAAUAUUGGUCAAUGGACGAGAGUCUGAACCAGCCAAGUCGCGUGCAGGAAGAAUGUCCUAUGGAUUGUAAACUGCUUUUGCAGGGGAAUAAAGUGCAUCACGUGUGAUGUUUUGUAUGUACUCUGCGAAUAAGGAUCGGCUAACUCCGUGCCAGCCGCGGC